This is a non-coding RNA of Brachypodium distachyon (stiff brome), 116 nucleotides long. The record is from Rfam. NCBI's taxonomy places the organism in Eukaryota, Viridiplantae, Streptophyta, Magnoliopsida, Poales, Poaceae.
GAGGGUACCCUUUGAACCUGCCUAGUUCAACAAAAUGAACUAAAAAUUUAAAAUAACAUCACUUUUUGAAAAACUAGUUCAUUUGUUUGAACUAAGGAGCGUCAGAGGGUACCCUG